GAGAGGACUACCAUGGUUAUAACGGGUAACGGGGAAUUAGGGUUCGAUUCCGGAGAGGGGGCCUGAGAGAUGGCCACCACUUCCAAGGAAGGCAGCAGGCGCGCAAAUUACCCAAUCCCAAUUCGGGGAGGUAGUGAUAAGAAAUACCAGUACAGGGCCCUAUGGGUACUGUGAUUGGAAUGAAUACAAUUUAAAAACCUUAAUGAGGAACGAUUGGAGGGCAAGUCUGGUGCCAGCAGCCGCGGUAAUUCCAGCUCCAAUAGUGUAUAUUAAAGUUGCUGCAGUUAAAAAGCUCGUAGUUGGAUUUCGGUAAGUAAAAAUUUAACAUCCAUCUCUAAGAUGUGAUUUAAUUUUUAUUUCCUUCCUUUUGAAUACACUCCCUAAAAUUUAUUUUAGGGACUCAGUGUUUCAAAUCGUUUACUGUGAAGAAAUUAGAGUGUUCAAAGCAGGCGUAACCUAGCCUUUGAAUAUAUUAGCAUGGGAUAAUGAAAUAGGACUUUAGUCCUACUUUCGUUGGUCUAGGGCUGAAGUAAUGAUUAAUAGGGAUAGUUGGGGUCACUAGUAUUUAAUUGUCAGAGGUGAAAUUCUAAGAUUUAUUAAAGACUAACUACUGCGAAAGCAUUUGACAAGGAUGUUUUCAUUAAUCAAGAACGAAAGUUGGGGGAUCGAAGAUGAUCAGAUACCGUCGUAGUCUCAACCAUAAACUAUGCCGACCAAGGAUCCGGGGUUGUUAAUAUGGAUGACUCUCCGGGCACUUAUAGAGAAAUCAUAAGUAUUUGGGCUCCGGGGGGAGUAUGGUCGCAAGGCUGAAACUUAAAGGAAUUGACGGAAGGGCACCACAAGGAGUGGAACCUGCGGUUUAAUUUGACCCAACACGGGGAAACUUACCAGGUCCAGACACAGUGAGGAUUGACAGAUUGAGGGUUCUUUCUUGAUUCUGUGAGUGGUGGUGCAUGGCCGUUUCUAGUUGGUGGAGUGAUUUGUCUGGUUAAUUCCGUUAACGAACGAGACCUUAACCUAUUAAAUAGUUGAUUGAACUUGAUUUCUAAAAUCAAAUGUUCAACUAACUUCUUAGAGGGACUCUUCACUGAGAGAGUGAAUGGAAGUUUGAGGCAAAAACAGGUCUGUGAUGCCCUUAGAUGUUCUGGGCCACACGCGCGUUACACUGACAUAUUCAACGAGCAUUAUCCUUGCCCGUCGGGGUUGGGUAAUCUUUUAAAUGUAUGUCGUGCUGGGGAUAGAUCAUUGUAAUUAUUGGUCUUGAACGAGGAAUUCCUAGUAAGUGCGAGUCAUCAACUCGCGCUGAUUACGUCCCUGCCCUUUGUACACACCGCCCGUCGCUCCUACCGAUUGAAUGGUCCGGCGAGAACUCAGGAUGGAUAUGGAUUUUGGACACCGUUAGGUGCUCCAACCAUAUCCAGAAUUUGUUCAAACCUUACCAUUUAGAGGAAGGAGAAGUCGUAACAAGGUU
Molecule: ribosomal RNA, 1471 nt
Filed under: metagenome
Description: SSU rRNA
Rfam family: Eukaryotic small subunit ribosomal RNA
Source: RNAcentral